Molecule: ribosomal RNA, 497 nt
Filed under: uncultured bacterium
Lineage: Bacteria
Description: partial 16S ribosomal RNA
Rfam family: Bacterial small subunit ribosomal RNA
Source: RNAcentral
GAUGAACGCUGGCGGCGUGCCUAAUACAUGCAAGUCGAGCGAACAGACGAGGAGCUUGCUCCUCUGACGUUAGCGGCGGACGGGUGAGUAACACGUGGAUAACCUACCUAUAAGACUGGGAUAACUUCGGGAAACCGGAGCUAAUACCGGAUAAUAUAUUGAACCGCAUGGUUCAAUAGUGAAAGACGGCUUUGCUGUCACUUAUAGAUGGAUCCGCGCCGCAUUAGCUAGUUGGUAAGGUAACGGCUUACCAAGGCAACGAUGCGUAGCCGACCUGAGAGGGUGAUCGGCCACACUGGAACUGAGACACGGUCCAGAGUCCUACGGGAGGCAGCAGUAGGGAAUCUUCCGCAAUGGGCGAAAGCCUGACGGAGCAACGCCGCGUGAGUGAUGAAGGUCUUCGGAUCGUAAAACUCUGUUAUUAGGGAAGAACAAAUGUGUAAGUAACUAUGCACGUCUUGACGGUACCUAAUCAGAAAGCCACGGCUAACUACGUG